Molecule: long non-coding RNA, 379 nt
Organism: Hyaena hyaena (striped hyena)
Lineage: Eukaryota; Metazoa; Chordata; Mammalia; Carnivora; Hyaenidae
Exons: 3
Source: RefSeq, a predicted model, not a curated record
GACCAGGGACACGCGCUCCGAGUCCCAGAAAAGACUGUUUAUCCUGCACCGGUGCGGGCCCAGCGGAUCCUCUCGGAAGGUGAGCCCCGAGCCCCGGCGCUGGCCCACUUUACGCCUGGUCGGCUUCCGGGUACUUGGAAACUUCCUAUCAGGCGUACAGGUUCACCGAAUUUUCCAGGAAUACCAUGACCACGACCAUGUAUAUCUCCUAGAGAAAUAAAAGGUAUGUCUGAAAAAGGAGUAGGGUGUAAUGUCCAUCACAACACCGUUCAUUAGAGCCUCACACUGGAAGCAGCCCGAAUGUUUAUCGACUAGAGAACAGAUAAAUCACUCUGUGUCUGUGUGAAGGAAUACUACUUGGCAAUAAAGAAGAAUGACA